This is a long non-coding RNA of Gorilla gorilla gorilla (western lowland gorilla), 1391 nucleotides long. RefSeq lists it as uncharacterized. NCBI's taxonomy places the organism in Eukaryota, Metazoa, Chordata, Mammalia, Primates, Hominidae. The record is from RefSeq and is a predicted model, not a curated record. The transcript has 3 exons.
CCAAAGGGCACAAUCAAAGUGAUAAAUAGUGCUUUUCAAACUUUUGGGUUGCGUCCCAGUUUUUGGAUUGUGAAAUCAAGUUAGCACAACUCAAUAUGUAAUUUUGAAAAACAGGAUAGAAUAGAAAAUGCCAGACUGCAUUGGAUACAUGCAUAAGGAGUGCUAUGGGCUGAAUCAUAUCCCCACAAAUUCAUAUGUUGGAGUCCUAACCCCCGGUAGCUCAGAAUAUGACCUUAUUUGGAGAUAGAGUUUUUUAAAGAGGUAAUUAAGGUCAAAUAAGGUUAUUAGGGUGGACCCUAUUCCAAUAUAACUGGUAUCUUUAUAAGAAAGGGAGAUUAAGACACAAACGCCCACCGAGGGAAGACCAUGUGAGGACACAGGGAGAAGACAACCAUCUACAAUCCAAGGAAAGAGGCUUCAGAAGGAACCACCCUUGCUGACACCUUGAUGUUGGACUUCCGGCCUCCAGAACUGUGAGACAAUAACUUUCUGUUGUUUGAGCCACCUGGUCUGUGAUGCUUUGUUAUGGAAGUCUGAGCAAACUAAUACAAGGGGCGCCUCUAUCAGUAAAGAAAAAUUUUGGACAUGGACACUAUAUUCCAUUGUAUGGGAAUGACUGAUUCUACAUUAAGUCUGCUCGGUGCAAGGAUCAUGAGGAUGAAGACCUUUAUGAUGACCCACUUCCGCUUGAUGAAGAGUGUUGAGAGACCCCAAGUGGGAAGUGGCUGGAUCAUGGAGGUGGCUUCCACGCUGCUGUUCUCGUGAUAGUGAGGGAGUUCUCAUGAAAUGUGAUGGUUUUAUAAAUGCCAGUUUCCCCUGGGCUCUUCUGUCUUUCCUGCCACCUUGUGAAGAAGUUACUUGCUUCUCCUUUGCCUUCCGCCAUGAUUGUAAGUUUCCUGAGGUCUCCCCAGCCAUGUGGAACUGUGAGUCAAUUAAACCUCUUUUGUUUAUAAAUUACCCAGUUUCAGAUACUAUCUCUAUAGCAGUGCAAGAAUGAACUAAUACGGUGCCCCCACCGAAAGGUUGGAGGUGAUACCUUUUACCAGGGCUCUGGGUCCCAGCUUUUGGGGACCUUGCUUUUGUUUGUUUGCUUAUAUUUAUUUUAUUGUGGUAAAAUAUAUAUAACAUAAAAUUAUCCAUUUUAACGAUUUUAAAGUGUCGUUAAGUGCACUCACAAUGUUGUGCAACUGUUACACUAUCUAUCUGGUUCUAAAACUUUUUCAUCACCUUAAACAGAACUUCCGUAUCCAUUAAAUAGUAACUUCUCAUUCCCUCUCCUGUGAUCCCAAUAACCUCCAAUCUACUUUCUGUCUUUACGAAUUUGCCUACUCUAGGGACCUCAAGUAAAUGGAGUUAUAUGAUAUUUGUCUUUUUGUGUCUGGCUUAUUUCA